GCGGGUGUCCCCGCGGCGGGAGCGCGGCGGCGCGGGGCUGUAUGGACGUGAUGUCCCCGCAACAGGAGCACCUCGGCCCGGGCCGCUCGUCCUCGGUGAGCGGCGAGAGCAGGGGCUUCGCCGCCGCCGACAACAAGAAGGUUUAGCAAGUGCUGAAGUGUUUUUAUAUCCAAAGUAGAGCUGGUACCUUGCUGCCUUGCAGAUUUUGCUUCACAAUGACAUUUGAAUCUAUUCACCACCUUGUCUUUAGAGGUGCACUUCAGACGGCUGCCAAAUAGGCUGGCAGGAUUAGAAUGACUGGCCAGGUUUCAGUGUCCCUUAGUAAAUCUGUCCACCUGGUGACAAUUUAGGAUGGUAGUAAAGUCAGAGCUUGUGUCCAGUCCUGUGGCUAAGCAGUUUCUGGGAUUUUGCUGGCUGUGGCACAGCAGUGCUGAUGUGUCUCUUUGGACUGGGAGGUGAUGCUGUGUGCUUCCAUGUGUUGUGUCCAUGUGUGCUGUGUCUCAUCAAGCCACAUAGUGCUCCAGCCUGACUGCAGCCCUGGGGACCUCUUCUAAUGGCAGCUACUGUCAAUGGUGGAAUGGUUGCCUGCAGGGAGUUUCACCAAGAUUUCUACUACACUUUGCUGCAGUUAAUACCUGAUUGGUUUCUGAACUGGGCGUGUGAGACACCUACACAAGGUGAUGGAGUACAUUCUGCUGCCCAGCUGGGCAAAAUGAUGGAGUAGAUACUCACCCUUUCCAAGUGCUGUGAUCUAAUUUGAGUUGGCUACAUGUGCAGCUUUGAUUUUUAUCAAACAUUUAUUUCAUUUUUGCUGAAGACAGAAUACCAUGUACCUUCCAACCUGGCAGAGCACUGAUGUUAGGCACCCGCCUGAAAUGAGAAGUUAUGUUCAAGUACUGCGAAGAUGAACAUUUUUAUUGUGCAAGUUCCACUUCAUUAUUCAGCAUUCUGAGGACAAAUAUUAAUGGUAGCACUUGUGUUUCCUAUUCUUGCUCCAAAGAGCCCACAGUCAAAGGAAUGCAGACCUUGUUUUUGCCAACACUGACAAGAGAGCAGGGGUAUUACUUUUUACAGAUCUUGGCAGCCCUUUUGGAAUUCCUCAGCAUGGAGGCACAUGCAGCGGGGGUACAGAUGGAGAUCCUCCUGUGGAGAAGCAGCUUGAGACCCUGGCUGGGCCCUGCAGCAUAUGGCAGCUUUGUACACCAUGCACAGCCAACACAGGCAGCCACCAACAUCCAGCCAGCGACUCAGCUGCUUGUCCACAGUUGUGGUGCUUCCUUGAGAGUGCUAGAAUGUCACCUCUUUAUGUCUCUCUGGGGAAGAAGAUUCCUACCUUUAUCCAUGUACAGGAAAGGAGUAUUCCAAAUUCUGCCUGAAGCUGGAUCUCAGUGACAGUUGAAAUAUUUCUUUUACAGUUUGUGUCCUUUGGACUCUAUAUACGCCUAUAUACUCUAUACCUCUGUGUUGUCUUCCACUCAGUGCCAAAGCAUCAUUUUUGCACAAUACAGAAAGUUGGUUUUGGUAACAGGGAGCUUACCAUGUUUGUAUUGGUUGCAUACAGUGAAAUGGAAGAAUGUGUUGGCAAGAAAUCAGUUUUGAUACUGGUGACACAGUAUGUCAAGUUAAACAAUUUCGUUGCAAAUAUGUAUUUAACAUCAAGUGUUUUGCUUUCUGCCAAAAGCUACCCCUAAAUAUGUGAUGCUAGGCGACCACUGAACCUUUCUCCCUUCUCAUUAUCAUGACUAUGUUUUCUCAAAUUAGCUGAGAUUUGCUGCAUUGUUCUGUGGUUUUCUGAACUCCUACUUCAUCUUCCACUUGGCUGUCAAAACAAGCUGAAGGAUCAUGUGUUUGAUCACACCACAGAACCAGGAUAGGGACAGAAAAUGCCUAGGGAUUUUUUAAUGUAUUUUAUGUGACUAUUUAAACUAAUAUCCUGGAAACAUUUCUGUGCCUAUUCUUGGCAUGCAAAAUAAUUUGCACUGCUAACCUGCCUCACAGUCUGUAGGAGGUUCUCUCUGUUAAAUGCUUACAAUGUUCUGCUAAAAGGUGACAUUGAAGUGCAGUGUUUUAGUUCCUGCUUUUGGAAAAUUCUGGGCUAGUUUACCUCCUUUACUGGACUUACUGGAGUUACUAUGUGUGAUUGACCUGCGGAGAAGUUUUGUAUUGACUGUUUAGCUUAGAAACCAAUACCAGUAAAUUGAUGCAACUCUGAAGUAGAUUGCAGUAGCCUGAGUAAAAGUGAUUAUACUGAUAGAGCUAAUUUCUCAAAUUUGUCAAAACAAACCAUGCAGCAGAGAUAUCUUUUAUGCCAAUGUAACUGUGUCAGCAGUAGCAGCUGGGUCAUUUAACCAUAUUUAUAAGUUCCUGGUGUGUCACUUCUCUCUUCUCAGAGGGUCUAGAUUCCAACCAACCCUGAAGAUUUUAUGCAAAACAAUACCUGGUAGCACAAGAAGUCAGUCCUAGGAUUUUUGCUGCCUCCUUGAAGAUUUCAGGUAACUGCUUAAAAUGUUUUGGAGGCUCAGCAGUUUUUAAUAUUUACACCUACAAAGUGUGCAAAAAUUUUAACUAUUUUGAAUACUAAUCAAAGUAGCAUUUAUGGUUUGAGACUUGAAAUCUGGCAAUUCUGUCACUGUAAAUAUGUGUUUCUUUGUGAUUCUGAUCACAAGUGCAGCAACAGUUUACUGGCAGGGAAAAGGGAGUUAUAGUGUUCCGCAACAGUGUAUUAAAUGGAUAAAUUCAAGCAAAUUAAUGGCAUUGGAAGAGUAAUCAUGCACAAUCUUCAUCCCUUGUUUUACUCUGAAAAGAUGAAUCAAGUGUGUAUUAACCAUUAUAUUUUAUGAUACCUGGAUCUCAUGCCAAUAUAUGUAUGGUUUUUUAAGAUUUCUUCUUCCAGCAAGGCUGUCCUGUUUACUAUGGUCCUGGCUGAGGAUCUGGUGGGUUGGUUCUAGAAUCACACCUGGUAGUGCUGGAAAUUUCGGAGACAUAGGAGCUCUUCUCGCACUAUUUAGUGGAGUGAAGAACAAUUCCUGUCAUCCUGCAGACAUAUCCUGUAGCUAUUUUGUCUCUGAUGUGGACUGAAAAAGCCCCUACUUUAAUGAAAUCACUCGCAAAGCCCACCUUGGUGGGCUGUGCUGGCUUGUGGUAGCUUCCUGUGUUGUGUGCCUCCUGGUGCUGAUUUAAUUCCGAACUAGUGUUAGUAAUCCUUCAUUUCUCUGUCCAUGAGAGAAACUGAAAAUUAUGCAGAAAACAAUGUGUCUAGUUCUUGAGUCUCCUGUUCCUGGGAAUUCUGUCUGCCCCUCCUGGUUGCAGUAGGAAAGAGAGGGGCACGAUAGGUCAUGUGGGAUGUAAUACUCAAGAACCACAAAUAAUAAAUUAUUGCCUCUUUACUUAAUGUUGCUUGAAGUAUGGAUAUGGAAUGGGGGGAAUCUCCUCUCUCUGUCAUCUCUAAAGUGCUCCUGAGAAAGUCUGUAUGUACAGAAACUGGGGUAGAAUUUUAUCCAUGUGUUAACCUUCAUGCUUUGUGGCAAGCUCGAAAGGAAACUUUGGGCUUCAACAAGACCACCACAAACAGAGUCACUGGUCUGAGCAGUGCCCUGACUCACUGUAGGACCCACAAGCAACAUACUCAAUGUUCCCCUUCUCUAGGAUGUGUUUACUAAUCUUUCACAUCUUCAUCUUGUGAUGUAGAUGAGUGGAAUCUUUUGAAGACAUCCAUAGCACUGCUUCCAAACAUUUGUAUCUUUUGGGAAGUAUGGUGAAACAUGUUUUGCUCUUAGCUUCUUUUAUCCAUUUUUCUUUCAGUCUUUGCUGUGCUCUCUAGCAGCAACUGUUCCAUGAUGAUGUGCUUUUGGUUCCACUGUGUUGAUAGCUCUUUUCUCUUGUGCCCCUGCAAUUGUUUUCUCUGCAAUUAUCCAUCCAAAAAUGGCUUUCUUUCUAAGAAGGUCCUUGUAAGUAAAAGUAUUCUGCCAGCAUAAACAAAAGCACAUAGUUUUGUCACCUGCUCUGCCUUUAUGGUAAAUGGUCUCUCUGUGGGAUCUACGUCUCUGCUGCUUGAGCCAGCAGUUCAAAUGCAGUCGUCUUCUCCCCCUGUUUAUGAGGGCUCAAGAGUGCUAUAGGUCAGCAUAGGUCCAUUUCUUGCUUUAACGAAGUAUAAGAAUUCUUGUUAUUUUUGGUACUUUUGGACAACUCUAGUCUAUAAGUCUAACAAAUACUGCAUUAUAAUAUGCAGGAAAAUAUAAUCUAUUGCCUCUCAUAAGUGGCCAGUGAUACAGGGGCAAGAGUGAUACCCAGUUGUUCUGCAAAAUUGACUGCUAUAUGCUGAGGGUUGUUGUGAUUUUUCUGAGUUUUCAGGCAUUUAGCUGAACUUUGCCUCAUAGUUUCUGGUAAGGAUUUGUUGUCUGUGCUUUGGUGCAUAUCUAGCUAAACCAGGAGUGUGUACCACAUAUAUGUUUUGUUGCUCAGACAACAAGAGCAGAGUUUGCAUGAGUGAAAUCCCUCGUUGUUAUUAACUUAAAUACGUUUAGAGAGUAGGAUUUGUUAAAAUCAGACUUCCUUUCAUUAGAAAAAUAAAGCAGUGAAAGGGAGAGCUUAGCCACUUGAAAGCAAUCCUCAGCUGGAGGCAUUGGCACAUCUGAGGGUUGUCCCUGUCAUCCAGUUAAAUGACCCAGGCAGAUGUCCCAGCCUUGACCCAUUUCUGGAGUGAGCCUGUAAAUCAGGAGCCUGAAAUCCUUCAGUGUCUGGGGAGGCUUUAACAAGGUUAUCUGCACAUUGCUGAGGAGGCAUUUCUGCUGUGUUUACCUGUCACUCAGGAACUAAGUAAAUUUUUCAACUGUUUUGUGUGUCUGUUCUUAAACAGACAUCAGGUAACAUUUUCUCAUCCUAAGCUCAAACCACUGCAAGAAGACAGUUUUCCCUGUGUUGCUGAACAUAUACAUUUUUCUGUUCCCUGUCUUUUGCUCAAAUAGCAAGGAGAGGAUUGAUGAUGAUUAACUAUUUUUUUGGUUUACCUUACUUUCCUUUUACAGUCAGUGGAGAAAAACUUAUUCAGACAAGAUGAGCCGUGCCCUAAAUUGUCCUUUUCUCUCUGUCAGCUAUAAAAGGAGCACAGGGCAGACAGCUCAGGUGUGUGAGUCAGAGGCUGGGGAGAGGAAUCUUCCUGCGUGUUUCUCACCAUGGCAUGGCUCAGGUAGCACACCCUGGCAAUGUGGGCAGUGUGCUCCCAGGGAAUCACUGCAACAGUCCCUAUCUUAGCUUGCCUGCUCUGACCAGUAGCUGCAGCAGGGUAUCCACUUAGUGCAUAGAUUUUAACUUCUCAAGACACUUGAAAAUAUUAUAAACAUUCUAUAUGUAUUACUUAAGUUACUUGUCAUCACAAAAUAAAUUGUAAGUACCGUUCAUUUUUUUUCAUACAUUUUUUAUUUAAUUCACACUCUGCCAUUCUCUUUAGAAGUGUGAUAUAGUAAAGCGAUAUACUUUACUUCCAGUUGUUUUUUGAUUUUACAUGUUACCUUUUACACAGUGGAAAUCAAUAUUUUAACUUGGCAAUAUAUUAAUUUAUAUACAUUUCAUAUAGUACCAUCAUCCACCUCAACUGCAAGGCAAAAUUAGUUGAAUGCUGGCAUCCAGGAAUAGAUUUUUCCUCCAGCUGAUGACUUGGGAGAUACUUGUGCAAGUUUUACUGUAAUCCAUAGGGGUUCUGGUUCCUAAGGAGACACAGCAUAUUUUCAGUGAUGUUUUUCAACCUUUCUGUCCUCAGCAUGGUGGGCUGGUCUGCUUAUAAACCGCCUACCAUCACAGUUUACAAAACAGUGUGUCAGAUUGUAAGUCUGAUUGAUAUCUGGUGUAAAUUCGUUCUUUUCCAGUCUACAGGACUAUAACUUUUUUAUACCAGGUGAGAAACUGGCCAAAUACUACCACCAGUCCAACAACUGAAAAUGCAAAACCUUUUUGUUUCUGUUAAAAAGUCAAGACAACCACAACCAGACAUGCAGAAAGUAUGAAGUUGAACCUGAAUCGGUGGGGAAGGGGCAGCAACUCAAGCUUUUGGACGUGAGGAAGACAGAAAUAGUUCUAGUUUGUCCUGACUGAUACAGGAUUAUCAUCUUUGCAUCUGGCACACUGUAAACAUUCAUUAUAGAUACUGAUUUUAUGAUACAUUUCACAUGCAUGUGAGUCAGCCAGCAAGUAUGAGAAUUUCUGUCUGUGUUGACCUUUCUAAUAUUUACAUGAAAAAAUGGGAGGUAAUGAUGUGGGACACAUGUUGAGAAAUGCUUCUCUGCGUCCCAUGCUUAGAUAAUUGGUCAGUGCAUCUCCUUUUCCUCACAAACAUCUGCUCUCACAACAGCUGUUCAGGAUAUAUCUCCUCUUCUCCACAUUGCCAUCCUUGCACAUAAUAAAAGCAGUAAAAAUGAGGAUAGCAGGCAACUGGAUCCAACUCAAUGAAAAGUGAAUUUAUCCUCUCCCUUCUCAAAGUUAAUCAAGUCAAGUUGUCAUGAUGGUCACUUAUUUUCUCUUCCCAAACUCUGUACAUGGAAAAAUAAAAAUAAAACACCCCUUUCUGCCUG
This 6563-nucleotide long non-coding RNA is filed under the name Taeniopygia guttata (zebra finch). RNAcentral's name for it is "lncRNA (ENSTGUG00000019915.1)". Lineage: Eukaryota; Metazoa; Chordata; Aves; Passeriformes; Estrildidae. The record is from RNAcentral.